AAAGGUUCGGGCAAAAAUUAGGGAUAUAAAUGAAAAAUGUACACCCGGCAAGUCGAAAACCUGAAAAGGCGACUUGGGCAAAAAAGGGUAUCCCGGUGGACUGAAAACCCGAAAGGGCGGUCCAGGCAAAAGAGGGAUUGAAACGAACAACUGCGUCUAGCAUGAUCGUUUGUGCUUUGGUUAAAGCAUCAUGGAUAAUACCC
Molecule: long non-coding RNA, 203 nt
Filed under: Lathyrus oleraceus (garden pea)
Lineage: Eukaryota; Viridiplantae; Streptophyta; Magnoliopsida; Fabales; Fabaceae
Description: Pisum sativum (pea) long non-coding RNA (PSAT_LNC038763)
Source: RNAcentral